UCGUGGGAUUCCACCAACAACACGGCUUAUUACUUCGCCAUAGCUGUGGACUCAGACCAACUGGUAACUGAAUGCCUCACUGUGGACACCUCCUGUUUUUUCACCGACACCGUCUGUGGUAAAACCUACAGCUUCUAUGUCAGAUCCAUCUACACCGGAGGACUAGACUGCAACACUGGAUACACAGACGGGGUGGUGAUCAAAACGGGUGAGUCAGUCAUUUUGGUAAAAAUGUAUAAAUAUUGAAUUUUCCAUUAUAUUCCGUUAUAAGCACUAUACAAAUAAAUGUGAGUUUGAAUUGUUUUUAAUUAAAAUUCUUUAUUUUGGCCCCCUCUGUCUCCUUACCCAUGUAGCCCCAUGUUUACCGCAGAACAUUUACACAACAGCAAACUGUGCUAGCAUCAGCAGUGCCGUCAUUACUUGGCAUGAGGCCGCAGGAGCCAAGACCUACAUUGUGGAGGCCCGCGGCAAUCGUAAAGAUUUCUACAACUGUUCGUCUGCAAACACAAGCUGCACGCUAACAGAUCUGGAAUGCGGAGAGAGCCUGAGCGUGUGGAUUGUUGCCACAAAUGGUGACUGUACUACUGAUCCUGUGCUGGGAGAGGUGGCAGAGACAGGUGAGUGAUUCUGGGUGAUGUGGUAAUACCAAUUGCAAUGUAAAUACCAUUGCAUAUGAAUAUGAACUCAUAAAAAAAGUACUGUGGCAUGGUUUUAGAUUGUGAUACUAUACACUAUUUCUCCCACCGUAGUUCCGUGCAUACCUCAGAACGUGUCCGCUGUGAAGACUUGUAGUUCAGAGUCUGCCUCUCUCACAUGGAACAAUGCCAAUGGUGCCGUCUUGUACAUUGGAACGGCAACGCACAUAGACGGUACAGUUCACACCUGCGCUGCCAUGGCGCCAGAGUGCACAUUCCCAAACCUGCGAUGUGGCGAGACAUAUGAUGUGAAAGUCAAAGCAACUAACCUGCAAUGCAACAGUUCUGAGAGUCAACAUGUCACCCUGCAGACGGCUCCAUGUGCUCCAGUCAGAGUGGGGGUCACUAGAGACUGUGCAGCGAAUCACGUGAUAGCAAGCUGGCAGGCCCUUCAGGCUGGGAGUCUGUACACGGCAGUACUGCAGGAUGAACAUGGACCCACAGUUAACUGCAGCACCAGCUCUAACAACUGCACAUUCACAGACCUGCUCUGUGGAAUGAACUACAACCUCACAGUCACAAGGAAUGAUGGUCAAUGCAGGAGUCUGCCAUCCUCAUCCAUUCAGAUACAGUCAGGUAAAAGUCAUGUGAUCAUGCAUGCAUGUUUACACAGUAAUAACAGAUCUUUGAAACCGACUAUCUAUCUCCUUUAG
Molecule: long non-coding RNA, 1348 nt
Filed under: Carassius auratus (goldfish)
Lineage: Eukaryota; Metazoa; Chordata; Actinopteri; Cypriniformes; Cyprinidae
Description: lncRNA (ENSCARG00000005042.1)
Source: RNAcentral